GACCACAGGCUCGGUAUGAGUCCUGUGACAGUGGACUGAUUUUUGACUACUCUGUUCACUUCUAAUCUGGUACUGAGUUGUAAAAUUUGAAAGUGCGUGUCAAUGGCUAAUGCGACUUUUUUAAAAGUAAUAAGCUUUAAAAAUAAUAUUCUUCACAAACUGAUGCUGUGGAGAACAUUAGAUGAUUUCUACUAUUGGCGCCUCAUAACUUCAAUUUUUAACAGGCUAUUUAAUUCUAAUUAAAAUCUUAAAAUUAGCAUAAAUCCUUCCUUCUCUCUCCUUUUCCUGUUCUUCCCGUCCCACCUUCUCAAUCCCUUUCCUCCUUCUUUCCUUUAACACGUGUUAAGUAUUUUCUAUGCCACUGGUCCUUGAGAACAAAAGGAAUAAAGCAUCAUAGGAUGGUCAGUGUUCAGGUGUAAACCCUUGGAUGAAGAAGCGAGUUGGAUGAAAUGACAGAUACACAGGGAGUUUUAGCUUUUGGUUACUACCCCGGCCCCCACUUUUUUGUUUGUUUGUUUUUGCUUUUUAGGGCUGCACCUGCGGCAUAUGGAGGUUCCCAGGCUAAGGGUCCAGUAGGAGCUACAACUGCCGGCCUACGCCACAGCCACAGCUACGAAGGAUCCGAAUCACGUCUGCAACCUACACCACAGCUCACGGCCAUGCCAGAGCCUUAACCCACUGAGCGGGGCCAGGGAUCGAACCCGCAACCUUAUGGUUCCUAGUCGCAUUCGUUUCCACUGCGCCACAACAGGAACUCCUGGUUACUCCCUUGAAAGAGGCCAUCUAAUUCAGUGCCUAAGGCUCAAUGAGGUUUCUUCCAAAAUGCAGCAAAUGUAGCAUUUUUUGAGGCAAAAUGUCUAGUUCUUUACUUUAAAACUGUUGAAAUUAUUGCAGAUAAACUCUCUCCAGGGUUAUAUGCCAAUUGCUUUGAGAAGAUGAAAACUUCCAGCUGGUUCCUCCUGCUCUCCGUUCUCUUUAUGGAGUCGCCUGACCUUCAGGCUGCACUUUCUUAUUCCUUUUGUCACCAGGAGGAAAGGGCCGAUGGCAGUAUUAGCUUUGCCGGUUGCUGAGUGGAUGGGAAGUGACGGGGGACGUCUUCGUCUUCUGCUCACACCAGCGCAGUCUUAGCAUUUUGUGGAGGUGGCCGUGGGGAGGGAGUGUCUACCCCUGUCAGCUGACAACUGCUGUUUUUCCAAGUACAGAGAGUGGUAUGGAAAUAAUUUCCUCUGGAGGCCAAGGCACAACAGCUUCUCUGCAAAGCAGCAAACCUGAUCUGGUAAUUUGUAUAUCAUUUUAACAGUCCAGACAGUUUUUUACAGUAUUUCAGGAAGUUAUGUUGCUGCUGAUUUUUAGCCUUCUUCAUCCUCUUUUUCCUUUCCUUUCCUUCCUUUCUUUUGAGAAUUUUUCAAGUUCUGAUGCCAACUGUAUUUGUUUUCCCCUUUAUUUAAAAAUAGCAUUAUUGACAUAUAAUCCACGCACCAUACAAUUCAUCCAUUUAAAAUAUAUAUCACAGAGUUGUGUAACCAGCACCACAGUCAAUUUUAGGACAUUUUUAUUCCCUCAAAAAUAAACCCCGUACCCAUUAACACACCUUCCCACCACUUAUCCCCAAUCCCCAUCCAUGGCCCUCAGCAGCUGCUAGUCUACUUUCUGUCUCUAUGGAUUUGCCUGUUUUAGAAAUUUAAUAUAAGUGGAAUCAUAUAUCCAUUCUUUUAGAUGAUCUAAUAUGUGCUCUUUUAUGAUGGGCAUCUUUUUUUUUUAGCAUAAUGUUUUUAAAGUCCGUCCAUCCAUACUGAAGCAUGAAUCAGUACUCCCUUUUUUUAUGGCUGAAUAAUAUGUCCUCGUAUAGACAUACCACAUUUUCAUUCUCUCAUUUUCUUGAGGCAUAAAAGUUUUAGCUCAUCUGUUGGCUUAUAGGUAUUUUAAGGGAAGGGAUCUUGCUUCCCUACUAGGCUUGUGUUUCCACAACAUAUAGCACCUGCAACAUAGUACAAAUUCAGUAGUGCUGAGUUGAUGCUACCAAAGUAAAUAUGGGAAAAAAAUGAGUUUGGCCUUUGAGUUUUGACAGAGUGAAGGUUAUAAAGGAAAGAUGUGACGGGAACAAUGAGAGAAGUUAUUUGACAUAAUAGAUUGAAUGAGUAUGAAAUCAAAAAGGGAUAAGAUAAAGAAGAGAGGCAAAGCCCUGUAGUGGGACAUAGGAGAAUUUGGAAAGAAGACUCAGAGAGUGGAAACGCACAUACAGGCAGUUUGCGUUAAAGCCAAAAUUUUAGAGUAUUCAUUACACCUGAUGUUGAAAUUUUUGGCAGAGACAACUGCCAAAAUUUUGGGAUUUUUUAUGUUUAGUUUAUAGAUAUCAUGAAAUUGUUGAAAUUAGAAAUAUGAAACUAGUUCAUUCAUGAAUAAUUGAAAUUAUGACUUGUCACCACCUUCAUCACCACCACCAUCGCUGUCAUGGAUGUUACCACCAGCACUAUUGUCAUCAUGAAUGUUUGUUGAAUGCAUAUUAAAAUGUAUUGAACAUAGCCAUUUGCUGGGCUUCAGGACAUUGUGCAAAAGCGUUUUGCAUGGGUUAUUAUAUUAGUUUUUCUUAACAAAUUUUAUGAGGUAGGACCUACUAAUAUCCCCAGUUUUAUAUAUGACAAAAGUGAAAUUGGAAUUUGAACUAGAUUUGACUGACUCUGAUAUCCAUACAUUUUUCUAUAGCAAUUUCUAGCUGCAGCUUCUAAACUUUUAGUCUAAUUUCUGCCUCAGUCCCUUUUGACUUUAUGAUGAUUUCAUAGUUCCGGUGGCUUAAAUGGUUGUUAGCAAAUACUCAUACCCUCCCGUCCACCCUGCAAUUUGGCACGUGCUUCCCACUGACUUUAGCCCAAUGGAAUAUUAAGGCACACGAACUCAGCAGAAGCCUUAAAUGUGCUUGCACUCUUCAGUGGGCCUUUCCUGCACCACUGAUCCACCACAUAAAAAGGAUGUUCAGAUAGACACUGCCCUUUCAGUCUAGGGCCCAGAAUGAAUAUGUAUGGAGCAGACUUGGCCCAAAUUGUCUGGCACCAAGUCCAACUGACCCUCAACCUGAAACCCAUUGGAAUCUGCUUUACUAUGCAAAUCUAAGAGCAUGAGAAUCAAUGUUUGACAUGGCAAGCAACUGGGUUGGGGUGGUUUAGUUAUACUGACUCAUUGCGGCAAUAUUGACUAUUAAUAAUAGUAUCUAUUUGUUCUUUCAUUCAUUUAGUAAUUAAUUCAACCAAGGCUGCUUUGAUUGUCUACCACAUGCCAGUCACUGUAGCAGGUAUUGGGCUUAUGAAGAUGGAUCCAGGAUAGUCUUGUCUUGCAUUUGGUGUCCCCUUAGUCAGGAAAGACAACAUGUCCAUACAUUAUUAGAAGACAAGAUAAAAGCUGGUUAGUGCCCUAGCAGAUGGCUGAAUCUAUGCUCUGGGAGUUCUUAGGAGAGGAUAUUACAACUGAUUGGAAGUAUCAGCAAGGCUGAGGGGCUAUGAGAAUGCAAGGUAAUACAUGUAAUAAUCAAACCCUUCUGAACACCAGAAAUGUAUAUUUUCAUGAGGUUGGCCAUCAUGUUUUUAGCAGAAUUUAGAAAUCCAUCAUCAAAAAAUUGAGUAGGGGAGUUUCUGUUGUGGCUCAGCGGUAACUAACCCAACUAGUAUCCGUGAGAAUGUGGGUCCCAUCCCUGGCCUCACUCAGUGGGUUAAGGAUCCAGCACUGCCUUGAGCUAUGGAGUAGGUCGCAGAUGCGGCUCAGAUCCCGAGUUGCUGUGGCUGUGGUGUAAGCUGGCAACAGAGCAGCUCCAAUUUGAACCCUAGCCUGGAAACUUUCAUAUGCCACAGAUGCAGCCCU
RNAcentral lists this long non-coding RNA (3849 nucleotides) under Sus scrofa (pig). RNAcentral describes it as "lncRNA (ENSSSCG00000061211.1)". Lineage: Eukaryota; Metazoa; Chordata; Mammalia; Artiodactyla; Suidae. The record is from RNAcentral.